AUUGUUGAGAGAGCAUGCAAUGCAUAGAAUGAUGGAUGAUUGAGAAUGUGUGAACGUGACCCUUUCCAUAACCCAUCCAUGUGGGUGGGCGAUUGACUGAGCUCGGAGCGAUCGGCACUAACGAACAAUGAACUUACAAACAGACGGCCCCUUGCCGUGAGCAGGGAGCACAAUGCGACGGAGAUUCUUUCUUCGGAAUCAAAUGACUCUCGGCAAUGGAUAUCUCGGCUCUUGCAUCGAUGAAGAACGGAGUGAAAUGCGAUACUUGGUGUGAAUUGCAGAAUCUCACGAACCAUUGAGUCUUUGAACGCAAGUUGUGCCCGAGGCCUUGUGGGCGAGGGCACGCCUGCUUGGGUGUCAUGGCAUUGCCGCCGCUUUUGCUCCAUGCUUUAUUAGCAUUGACCAGCGCGGAAAUUGGCCCCGUGUGCCCUCGGGCACAGUCGGUCAAAGAGUGAGGUAGCCGGUAGUCGUCGAGCACGAUGGAUGUUGGUCGUCACGAGCGAGAACUGAACAUCGUCCUUGUCGUCGUUUCGGAACGAACCCUCAAUCAAGAGACCCUACUAUGUGAUUGCGGAGUCGGAUGAAUGUCCCGUGCCAAUCAUUUAU
This 606-nucleotide ribosomal RNA is filed under the name Curcuma aurantiaca. Its description in RNAcentral is "eukaryotic LSU rRNA". The stretch from base 205 to 360 matches the Rfam family "5.8S ribosomal RNA". The record is from RNAcentral. Lineage: Eukaryota; Viridiplantae; Streptophyta; Magnoliopsida; Zingiberales; Zingiberaceae.